UGAGGAAUAUUGGUCAAUGGGCGAGAGCCUGAACCAGCCAAGUAGCGUGCAGGAUGACGGCCCUAUGGGUUGUAAACUGCUUUUAUGUGGGGAUAAAGUGCGUGACGUGUCAUGCAUUGCAGGUACCACAUGAAUAAGGACCGGCUAAUUCCGUGCCAGCAGCCGCGGUAAUACGGAAGGUCCGGGCGUUAUCCGGAUUUAUUGGGUUUAAAGGGAGCGUAGGCUGUCUAUUAAGCGUGUUGUGAAAUUUACCGGCUCAACCGGUGGCUUGCAGCGCGAACUGGUCGACUUGAGUAUGCAGGAAGUAGGCGGAAUUCAUGGUGUAGCGGUGAAAUGCUUAGAUAUCAUGACGAACUCCGAUUGCGCAGGCAGCUUACGGGAGCGCAACUGACGCUGAAGCUCGAAGGUGCGGGUAUCGAACAGG
This 424-nucleotide ribosomal RNA is filed under the name Verrucomicrobiota bacterium. RNAcentral describes it as "Verrucomicrobia bacterium partial 16S ribosomal RNA". It matches the Rfam family "Bacterial small subunit ribosomal RNA", at positions 355 to 776 of the family's 1533-position model. The record is from RNAcentral. Lineage: Bacteria; Pseudomonadati; Verrucomicrobiota.